This 598-nucleotide ribosomal RNA is filed under the name uncultured bacterium. RNAcentral's name for it is "bacterial SSU rRNA". It matches the Rfam family "Bacterial small subunit ribosomal RNA", at positions 879 to 1501 of the family's 1533-position model. The record is from RNAcentral.
AGUACGGUCGCAAGAUUAAACUCAAAGGAAUUGACGGGGCCCGCACAAGCGGUGGAGCAUGUGGUUUAAUUCGAAGCAACGCGCAGAACCUUACCACCUUUUGACAUGCCCGGACCGUCACGGAGACGUGACUUUCCCUUCGGGGACUGGGACACAGGUGCUGCAUGGUUGUCGUCAGCUCGUGUCGUGAGAUGUUGGGUUAAGUCCCGCAACGAGCGCAACCCUCGCCAUUAGUUGCCAUCAUUCAGUUGGGAACUCUAAUGGGACUGCCGGUGCUAAGCCGGAGGAAGGUGGGGAUGACGUCAAGUCCUCAUGGCCCUUACAGGGUGGGCUACACACGUGCUACAAUGGGGACUACAGAGGGUUAAUCCUUAAAAGUCGUCUCAGUUCGGAUUGUCCUCUGCAACUCGAGGGCAUGAAGUUGGAAUCGCUAGUAAUCGCGGAUCAGCAUGCCGCGGUGAUACGUUCCCGGGCCUUGUACACACCGCCCGUCACACCAUGGGAGUUGGUUCUACCCGAAGGCGGUGCGCUAACCAGCAAUGGAGGCAGCCGACCACGGUAGGGUCAGCGACUGGGGUGAAGUCGUAACAAGGUAACC